RNAcentral lists this ribosomal RNA (468 nucleotides) under uncultured bacterium. RNAcentral describes it as "partial 16S ribosomal RNA". It matches the Rfam family "Bacterial small subunit ribosomal RNA", at positions 28 to 507 of the family's 1533-position model. The record is from RNAcentral.
GACGAACGCUGGCGGCGUGCUUAACACAUGCAAGUCGAACGGAAAGGCCCUGCUUUUGUGGGGUGCUCGAGUGGCGAACGGGUGAGUAACACGUGAGUAACCUGCCCUUGACUUUGGGAUAACUUCAGGAGACUGGGGCUAAUACCGGAUAGGAGCUCCUGCUGCAUGGUGGGGGUUGGAAAGUUUCGGCGGUUGGGGAUGGACUCGCGGCUUAUCAGCUUGUUGGUGGGGUAGUGUCUUACCAAGGCUUUGACGGGUAGCCGGCCUGAGAGGGUGACCGGCCACAUUGGGACUGAGAUACGGCCCAGACUCCUACGGGAGGCAGCAGUGGGGAAUAUUGCACAAUGGGCGGAAGCCUGAUGCAGCAACGCCGCGUGCGGUAUGACGGCCUUCGGGUUGUAAACCGCUUUCGCCUGUGACGAAGCGUGAGUGACGGUAAUGGGUAAAGAAGCACCGGCUAACUACGUG